RNAcentral lists this ribosomal RNA (253 nucleotides) under uncultured bacterium. RNAcentral describes it as "partial 16S ribosomal RNA". It matches the Rfam family "Bacterial small subunit ribosomal RNA", at positions 524 to 776 of the family's 1533-position model. The record is from RNAcentral.
UACGUAGGUGGCAAGCGUUGUCCGGAUUUAUUGGGUUUAAAGGGUGCGUAGGCGGUUUAAUAAGUCAGUGGUGAAAUACGGCAGCUCAACUGUCGAGGUGCCAUUGAUACUGUUGGACUUGAGUACAGACGAGGUAGGCGGAAUUGACGGUGUAGCGGUGAAAUGCUUAGAUAUCAGGAGGAACACCGGUGGGGUAAACGGCUUUCUGGACCAUAACUGACGCUGAGGCGCGAAAGCUAGGGGAGCAAACAGG